Molecule: ribosomal RNA, 253 nt
Filed under: uncultured bacterium
Lineage: Bacteria
Description: partial 16S ribosomal RNA
Rfam family: Bacterial small subunit ribosomal RNA
Source: RNAcentral
UACGAAGGGUGCAAGCGUUACUCGGAAUUACUGGGCGUAAAGCGUGCGCAGGCGGUUUUGUAAGUCUGUCGUGAAAUCCCCGGGCUUAACCUGGGAAUUGCGAUGGAGACUGCAAGGCUAGAAUCUGGCAGAGGGGGGUAGAAUUCCACGUGUAGCAGUGAAAUGCGUAGAGAUGUGGAGGAACACCGAUGGCGAAGGCAGCCCCCUGGGUCAAGAUUGACGCUCAUGCACGAAAGCGUGGGGAGCAAACAGG